RNAcentral lists this ribosomal RNA (482 nucleotides) under uncultured bacterium. RNAcentral describes it as "partial 16S ribosomal RNA". It matches the Rfam family "Bacterial small subunit ribosomal RNA", at positions 30 to 507 of the family's 1533-position model. The record is from RNAcentral.
AUUGAACGCUGGCGGCAUGCUUUACACAUGCAAGUCGAACGGUAACAGGCCGCAAGGUGCUGACGAGUGGCGAACGGGUGAGUAAUGCAUCGGAACGUGCCCAGUCGUGGGGGAUAACUACUCGAAAGAGUAGCUAAUACCUCAUACGAUCUAUGGAUGAAAGCGGGGGACCGUAAGGCCUCGCGCGAUUUGAGCUGCCGAUGUCAGAUUAGGUAGUUGGUGGGGUAAAGGCUCACCAAGCCAACGAUCUGUAGCUGGUCUGAGAGGACGACCAGCCACACUGGGACUGAGACACGGCCCAGACUCCUACGGGAGGCAGCAGUGGGGAAUUUUGGACAAUGGGCGCAAGCCUGAUCCAGCAAUGCCGCGUGCAGGAAGAAGGCCUUCGGGUUGUAAACUGCUUUUGUACGGAACGAAACGGCUCUGGUUAAUACCCGGGGCUAAUGACGGUACCGUAAGAAUAAGCACCGGCUAACUACGUG